CUGCUGGGCCGCGCCGGGCCACCGCCCCUUAUAGCCUUCGCCCCGCCCCGGCCCCGCCCCACACGCCUUUUGUUCUAAACUCUCCCCGCGGAGGCCGCGGCCAAGGUGGGGGAGGUGGAGGAGAAGGGCUGGUCCCGCUAGGGCUGGAGGCUCGGAGACCCAGUCCUUCCUAGGAUCCGGAGAGCCUGAGGUCUAAGAGGCCUGGUGUUGGGCGCCCAGGCCAGCUGGUGCUACUCCAGGCCUCACUUUCCCUGCUGUGCUGUGGGGAGUCUGACAGGAGCCGAAUUUGACUCCUCCUGGUCCCUACCCCACCUUUAGAAGGGGCUUUCCUAGCUGAUCUCCCUCGUGGCCUAACCUCUGACCUACUGCUAGCCUAUGACAGGUGGUUGUUCCCAGGGCAAGUUCUCCUUAGAGCCUUAGCUGAUAGAUCUGGAAGAUGGCAUAGCAGCCCCUGUGAAACAAGGGAUGUGUCUCAGGGGAAAUUGAAGCAUAAGGAGGUGGCUAGCCAGUCCCCAGCUUAGAACAUGUAGACAAUUUAUAAAUGGGAAAACUGAGGGCCCAAGAUCAGGCUUUCCCAUACCAGCAGGCAAGUGGAGGGGUCAGGAAGGAGGAUGCUAUUGGUAGACUGAGGCAGGCAGGGAGCCAAUCUCUGAGUGGGGACACUUGUGGCUCAAGAGACUAACACACUCCACAAGGGCCCUAGGGGCCAGGUUUCUGAGACCUGAGAGAGAGGAGGUGAAAAUCAAAGGAGAGGGUGAUGUCCAUAUGCUGGAAGGGAUCCUCCACUCGUGACCAGGUGCCUCACCACUUCACGAAGGCAAUCUGCUCCAUCAUGGGCAACCCUGCAGAGCCAAAACCCAAGCAGUGGCUCCCAUCCUAUCAGGCAGGGUCCUGAGAGGCUGCAAGGUGAGGCUGUGGGCACCCAGCCAGGGGGUAAGAAGGGAAGGAGGCCAACAGGGAGAAGAGGGCGAUCAGGCUGGCUCAACCCCUCCCUCCAGGUUCGGGUCCAGGGAGCCCUCUCGGCCUCUCCAGGAAGGCUCCACAGAGACUCCUAGAGGGCCAGGAGAGGAGAAACAAGGCAUCAGCUAUCUUUACUACCUGGAGUCGUUGGUCCGUGUCCCCAGGGCCCACACAGCUCGGGCCAGGCGCAAGGAGGAAGCAGGGUAACAUUUCCAGCUAAGAAGGACGCUGAAACGAGGUGAUACUUGAAGGGACAGGUCUCGGAGACCCGCGGGAAGGUGAGAGCGGCCCCAGGCCUGGCUACUCCCUUUGGGGGCGUGUCCCCUAGGCCCCGCCCCCUGGCGCCAGCUGAGUUUAGCGGCG
This 1323-nucleotide long non-coding RNA is filed under the name Felis catus (domestic cat). Its description in RNAcentral is "lncRNA (ENSFCAG00000049814.1)". Lineage: Eukaryota; Metazoa; Chordata; Mammalia; Carnivora; Felidae. The record is from RNAcentral.